Molecule: ribosomal RNA, 508 nt
Filed under: uncultured bacterium
Lineage: Bacteria
Description: partial 16S ribosomal RNA
Rfam family: Bacterial small subunit ribosomal RNA (bases 15-371)
Source: RNAcentral
GACGAACGCUGGCGGCGUGCUUAACACAUGCAAGUCGAACGGAAAGGCCCUGCUUUUGUGGGGUGCUCGAGUGGCGAACGGGUGAGUAACACGUGAGUAACCUGCCCUUGACUUUGGGAUAACUUCAGGAAACUGGGGCUAAUACCGGAUAGGAGCUCCUGCUGCAUGGUGGGGGUUGGAAAGUUUCGGCGGUUGGGGAUGGACUCGCGGCUUAUCAGCUUGUUGGUGGGGUAGUGGCUUACCAAGGCUUUGACGGGUAGCCGGCCUGAGAGGGUGACCGGCAACAGGGCGACGGAGUGGCGGCCAAGGCUCGUAGGGGGGGCAGGGGGGGGGAGUAGUGCAGAGGGGGAGGAGGCCUGAGGCAGCAGCGCGGGGGUGGGGAUGCGGGCCUGCGGGGUGCAACCGGGUGUCGGUGGGGAGGAAGAGUGGGUGAGGGUAAGAGGCAAAGAAGCACGGGCCAACUGCGUGCCAGCGGGCGAGUGAAUGGACGGAAGAGCGACGUUUGACC